UUUUUAUCAGCCAGAACUUCACCUUGGUGAGUACAAGAAUAGUGGGAAUCGGAGGAACUGGAAUAAGAAAGGAGGACCAGACCUAAGGGACAAGAUCAAUUACAAACGUGAUAGGGAUCAAAGAAACUACAGAGAUGACAGGAGGGACAGGGGGCAAAGCAACAACAACAACUCUUUUCACAAGAUUGACAAGAGGAACUACAAGUGCCAUAAUUGUGGUAAUACAGGCCACUUCAGGUCAGAAUGCACCAAGAAGAGGAAGCCGAAUAGCGAAAGGAAUAAUUUUCACAAGGAUGACAGCCGCAAGGGGAAUCAAUCCCCUGAAGCUGCAGGGGUUUACUGAUGCUGAUUGGCAAGGGGAUCUUGAUGACCGGAAAUCAACUUCUGGUUAUCUGUUUACACUAGCAGGAGGAGCUAUUUCUUGGAGUAGCAAGAAGCAAGAUUCUGUAGCACUUUCAUCUAUGGAGGCUGAAUAUAUUGCAGCGUCGGAAGCUGUGAAAGAAGGUGUAUGGUUAAAGGGGUUUCUUGCGUCUCUCGUGGUGGUGGAAAGCGCUUCAUAUCCUGUUACUAUUUUCUGUGAUAACCAGGCGGCAAUCAAGGUCUCAAAGGAUCCCUGCUUUAAUUUGUUCUCAUCAGUCAUCACACCGCAGUAGAGCCUGAGAGCAGUAAGUAAAUAGGAAGAAGUAGUUUCAGUUUCAAGGCUCGACAAUCUCCAUAUGGCUUCCAAGCAGAUGCUUGCCGUGGCGGUGGAAAUCGCCAUGGUCUUCCUCCCCUUGCUCGCCGCCUCAACCACUGUGCACCCCGUGGGCGACGGCAGUGGGUGGACGCUCGGUUUCGACUACACCGCCUGGUCCGAGAGCAAGCAGUUCACGGUCGGCGACGCGCUAGUGUUCAAGUACAACAAGGCGCUCCAUAACGUGGUGGAGGUGAGCGGCCCGGAUUUCAAGGCGUGCAAGAACACCAAGGGCGGCCCCGCCUGGAGGUCCGGUGCCGACCAGGUCCACCUCGGCGACGCGGGGAGGAGGUGGUUCAUCUGCACCGUGGGCAACCACUGCCAGAUGGGCUUGAAGCUCAACGUCACCAUCCUCGCCGCGGACGCGCUUUCGCCUGCGCCGCCUGCACCAGCUCCGUGGUCGACGGUGCCAUCGUCGUCUACUCCUCACAAGUCCAGGCGGCCCUUUGUUUCCAAGUGGUGAUGACCUGCCGCUGCCGGGCAUGCAGCGCCCUGUAUCAACUAUACUUGUUCGUGUCUGUUUUUUUGCUAGUCACAUCGUGCACGGUGUGAUCAAUAUCGCACACUGCUGGAUCCAUGUAAUGUUCCCCGUACCAUGACGAUUUAUUAGUUGUUCGACUCGUGCUAUACACAUACAAUAAAUUGAAUUGCCCGG
RNAcentral lists this ribosomal RNA (1388 nucleotides) under Triticum aestivum (bread wheat). RNAcentral's name for it is "partial small subunit ribosomal RNA". Lineage: Eukaryota; Viridiplantae; Streptophyta; Magnoliopsida; Poales; Poaceae. The record is from RNAcentral.